CAAAUUUAAAAUCUACCUGGUUUYCAGGUCGAGUUGUAAUUUGAAGAUACGUUUUUGACGUUCCGGGUUGAACUAAAUCCUUUGGGAUAAGGUAUCAUGGAGGGUGAGAAUCCCGUAUAUACCAACCRUAGGGAUGUUAUUUAAUACGUUUCUAAGAGUCRAGUUGUUUGGGAAUGCMGCUCUAAAUGGGUGGUAAAUUUCACCUAAUGCUAAAUAUAAGCGAGAGACCGAUAGCGAACAAGUACAGUGAUGGAAAGAUGAAAAGAACUUUGAAAAGAGAGUUAAAUAGUAYGUGAAAUUGUUGAAAGGGAAACGAUUGAAGUCAGUCAUGCCRGUGGGAAUCAACUUAGAGGAAACUCUGAGUGCACUUYUUCGCUUGGCAGGUCAACGUCGAUUUUGGAUGUCAUAAAAWGAUUGGGGGAAGGUAGCUCYUUCGGGAGUGUUAUAGCCCUUGGUAGAUGUGAUGUCUGGGAUCGAGGAUUGCAAUGGAUACCCUUUGGGGCUAGCCGCCUGAUCUCUAAUYGGUAUUGGGUUACGGAUAGCAUGCUGACCGUGAUCUAAUUAUUGGUUAAAAGGUUAG
Molecule: ribosomal RNA, 580 nt
Filed under: Glomeromycotina sp.
Lineage: Eukaryota; Fungi; Glomeromycota
Description: eukaryotic LSU rRNA
Rfam family: Eukaryotic large subunit ribosomal RNA
Source: RNAcentral